Molecule: long non-coding RNA, 2227 nt
Filed under: Malus domestica (apple)
Lineage: Eukaryota; Viridiplantae; Streptophyta; Magnoliopsida; Rosales; Rosaceae
Description: long non-coding RNA (MDOM_LNC021093)
Source: RNAcentral
AAAUUGCAAAGAGCACAAACUGUAGGUGCUCCUUGUGAGGAACCAAACAAAUCCAUUGUUGCAAUGCUCUCAAAAUCAAUAUAAAAUAAAAUCAAAAUCAAGUAAAUAAAAAGAUAUAUACAAAAAUAAUUAACUAAGAGCUGAUAAACACAAAUUAUUUGAAGCAAUCCCUGGCAACGGCACCAAUUUCUUGAUAGAAAUUUUUACCACCUGCAAAAGUGAGGAUAAAAACACUUAAAAAUACUUGCAAGAGUAUAAGGUUGUGUAGUAUAGCAGCUCAAACAAGGUCGUUCUCCACAUAGAUUGAAUGAAUAAUUUAUGUUAAAAUUAAAUCUUAAUUAAUUAUUUGAAAAUAAAGUUUGGAAGAGGUUGAUUUUAUGACCAAAAAUAUUAAAAACAAAUUUAAUUAAAAUAGUUUUGAAAAUAAAUUUGAGCACUAGGGUUCCGCCGUCAUCUUAACAAUCCUACGUAGUUCUUUCAAUUACUUAUGACUUACACACACAUAUUUGAAAGUUAGGUUUUUCUAAAGUAUGCCCUACUUGGAACCUCCAACAUAUAACGUAUAUCUAACAUGCAACUCGUCCGUAGUGUUCAAAUCGAAUAUGAACAUGCAAGACUCAUUAAGUUUUGUGAAAACCUUUUGAAAAACCAUAUAACCCUUAAGACGUGUCCAUCCUAAGAAGUUACACAUUAACCAUAAGAAGCCAAAGCCAAUUCAAGGGACAGACCUCCGCCAAAAUUGCAUCAAAUUAUUUUUCUAAAUAUCCAAAUGAUGGCCAAUCAUCAAGACAAUUAGAUAGUUUAAACCAGUGAUUAAUAAUUCAAAACCCGUAUGCAUAAUAUUAUAAGCAAAUUGAAAAGAAACUACAUAUUCUUACUAAGGCUUGUAGACUCGCCCCAAUAAACGAAACUAGUUACUAACAACCAUAAAACAAAAUAUUAUUAAAAACAUGGAUAGAAAACACCUUGAAAAUAAACUUGAAUUGUCAAAAGCUCUCUAAAGCCAAAUGCGUGUGUUCUCCCCCUCUUCUCCCUAAUGGCUAAAAAGCCUUAUUUACAUUACUUCAAAAUAAAACCCUUACUAGAAGAGGUCUUAAAAUAAUACUAGGAAACAUAAUAAAAUAAUAAAACAGAAAAUAAAUGGUUUUCUAUUUGAACUAAAAUUCGGAGUUCUCAGAAAAUUAGUCUUAUGACCGACCAAAUCAACUUUGAUUUGGUUCCAAAAUGUCUCUUUUGAAGCUAAAGAUGUCCCCUACAUAUCCUCAGAAGGAAUAUCCCUUAAAAUAUGCCUUCUUGACCUUCAAAAUACUCACAAUGUCCAUAAACGUUUAUCUAGGAAAGCUGCGCGCUGGACCUUCAUUUCUUUGCCACGGUCAAACGGCUCUGCAGAAAAAUCUAGAAUUUUGAUACAAUAAUCUUGAAAGACUCACAAACAUCCUCCAAUUGGAACUACUCCAAAAUUUAUCCGUUUGUUCGCUUUUUGCUCUAGAAGAAUUCGAAUGUCCUUAGUUCAACAAUUACAAUAUGUCACUAUAUGUUCAUAUAUAAUUACUAAACUUUAUUCCCAUGACAACAACCAUAUCCAAUAGGGACCUUCACUUAACCAAAAUAAAAAUUAUGUAUUUGAACUUUUUAUUAUUUCAAAUAGGUCCCCAAAAUUUUGAUAAUUGCACUUUGGCCCCUGAACUUCUGGUAAUUUACAAAAUUACCCUAAAACUAAAACUAUUUUCACAAUUCAAUCCUUGGUAUGAAACCAGCAGCUUUGAGGUUUGUUUUCCUAGAAAUUCAACAUAUCUUUCAAGCCAAAGCACAAUCAUCAAUAGUACAACUCAUUUCUUCCAUACAAACGUCCUUUAAAGACCAAAUUUGAUGAAUUUCGAGUCAAACAUAAAAUUUCUCUAAAUCUCAUCCAUAUGAAAGUGGUACAAAAUCCCAGAAAUCUGAUCAUAUGUAAAUCUUUACCUUAAUGUCUCAUAAAUCAUUGUCCAGUCAUCAAAUAGGCAUCAAAGCCCUUGAUUUCAAAGCUAAAACGAUGAUCCACGUCACUAUUGCAAUAGCUAAGCUCCAUGUACUUGAGCAAGCUCCUUGAUCACUCAUAAUGCCAUGUAUUUCUUCCACUCUAUUUUUUUUUUCUAAUCUCUCUCUCUAACAUAUACACACACGUAUACACAAACCAUGCAUGCAUACAUGCAUGGCUUCUCAGUAGCCAACAUAUGUUUCGAAAAGU